GAUGAAGAACGCAGCGAAAUGCGAUAAGUAAUGUGAAUUGCAGAAUUCAGUGAAUCAUCGAAUCUUUGAACGCACCUUGCGCUCCUUGGUAUUCCGAGGAGCAUGCCUGUUUGAGUGUCAUUAAAUUCUCAACCUUAUUGGCUUUUGCUGAUAAUGGCUUGGACUUGGGGGUCUUUUUGCUGGCUUUCAUUAGUCUGCUCCCCUUAAAUGUAUUAGCCGGUGCCCCGCAGUGGAACCGUCUAUUGGUGUGAUAAUUAUCUACGCCGUGGACGUCUGCUAUAAUGGGUUUGCGCUGCUUCUAACCGUCUCUCGGGACAACACAAAUGACAAUUUGACCUCAAAUCAGGUAGGACUACCCGCUGAACUUAAGCAUAUCAAUAGCGGAGGA
Molecule: unclassified non-coding RNA, 388 nt
Filed under: soil metagenome
Description: partial contains 5.8S ribosomal RNA, internal transcribed spacer 2, and large subunit ribosomal RNA
Rfam family: 5.8S ribosomal RNA (bases 1-120)
Source: RNAcentral